GCUAGGCAGCGGCGGGGAUGGCUAGCCGCGGAGCCGGGGCGGUGACGAUAGCAGCGGUUCCGCCAUUGGUCGAGGAGGCCUGAGGGACGGGCCAGCCUGGUGAACAAGGAGAUACCGAGGCGGGUGGCCCCGAGAGAGCGAGGGCAAUGGAGGCUAACAUGCCGAAGCGGAAGGAGCCCGGCAAGUCCCUGCGCAUCAAAGUCAUCUCCAUGGGCAACGCUGAAGUGGGAAAAAGCUGUAUCAUAAAACGGUACUGUGAGAAAAGAUUUGUGUCUAAAUAUCUUGCAACAAUUGGAAUUGACUAUGGAGUCACAAAGGUACAAGUCAGAGACCGAGAAAUCAAAGUUAACAUCUUUGAUAUGGCUGGCCAUCCCUUCUUCUAUGAGGUUCGUAAUGAGUUUUACAAGGACACACAAGGUGUAAUACUGGUCUAUGAUGUUGGGCAGAAGGACUCCUUUGAUGCCCUUGAUGCUUGGCUGGCAGAGAUGAAACACGAUCUGGGGCCUCACGGAAACAUGGAGAAUAUCGUAUUUGCAGUGUGUGCCAACAAGAUUGACUGUACCAAGCACCGCUGUGUGGAUGAAAGUGAAGGGCGUCUCUGGGCUGAAAGCAAAGGAUUCUUGUACUUUGAAACUUCAGCACAAACCGGAGAAGGAAUCAAUGAGAUGUUCCAGACCUUCUACGUAUCUAUUGUUGAUUUAUGUGAAAAUGGCGGCAAACGCCCUGUCCCGAAUAGCAGUGCUAGUUUCACCAAAGAGCAAGCAGACACCAUUCGCAGAAUUCGAAACAGUAAAGACAGCUGGGACAUGCUGGGAGUCAAACCUGGGGCCUCAAGGGACGAAGUCAACAAAGCCUACCGGAAACUCGCGGUGCUGCUUCACCCUGACAAGUGCGUGGCGCCUGGUAGCGAAGAUGCCUUCAAAGCAGUUGUGAACGCCCGGACAGCCCUCCUGAAGAACAUCAAGUAGGAAGUAAGAGAGAAAGACAAGUGUGGGCCUCAAGUACCAACUGACUCUCCCUAGAAGUGAAAUAACCGAUGUGUUUUUGUUUUUUCUCCUCCACAAAAUCGUACUGCCUUUGUCGCCCUUGUUGUCCUUUGUAAAUGAGAAAUCGAGGUGCCUGUUACCAUUUCCCAGACAUUUCACAGAGCGGUGAAGAGAGCCGAGCCGCCCUCGGACACGGUAGCUCACUUCAUACUUCCAGGAUCUAGAAUUGUGGCAGAGGGUGCCUGACCUCUCAUCUUGGCCAAGAGAAGCACUUUGGGGCCGUCGUGCUGUCCCCCGCACUAGCGGCCUCGCUGCGCUCUAGCAGGUCCCACCUGCUGUGCCAUCUGCUGCUGACGUCACGUCCCGCCCUGGCCUCCAGACUUGAGGUUCAAGUGCUCAUCCUCCUGGUUUUCCAGGCUGGCCCUUGGCCUCCGCCGCUCUGCUCCCUGGGCCUCUCAGCACCUCUGCACCCUGCCCACCUGGAGGGUGGGUAACUCCAGGCCACUUUCCCCCAGUCCCACCCUGAGGCCCAGGCCCUGGGGCCCCUUUCAGUCAUCACCACUCUGACUCUGGUGUCCGGUCAGGUGCAACUUCACACCAGGCUUCCCCUGGAAAGUGCAGCCUCCCAGGCUACCCCUUGGAAGCCACAUGGAACUUUUCUGUCUGGCCCUAGGAGUUACCAGUGGGCUGGUAAGCUGGAUCUCAGGUAGGGGUGCGGGGAAACCCUGAGUUGUAGCUUUUGCCCUACUUCUGUCCUAUAAACACUCUCAGCAUCAAGCUGGAAGAUACACCGAAAAGCUUUCAUGAGCAAAGUGCAACCCGACACUGUUUACCCCAGGAAAAUUCGGGAAUGAAUGGGCACGGCUUCCCCAUGCAUCCUCCCACAUCUAAGCUAAGACCUUCCCCUUUCAUCUUCACUUCUCAACUAGAUUGUUAGCUCUUUGGGACAGGAUUACAUCUCAGAGCCUGUCUCCCAAAGCACUUCUCACAGCCACUUGCAGGAGGCCAUCAGUACUUGUGAAGACUGAUUACACUCUUUAACAAAAUUGCCACUAAGGACUUCUUUACGUUUUAAAUUUUAUUUUUUUUACUAACGUGCAAUUGACAUACAAUAUCCUGUUCAUUUCAGGGGCACAUCAUAGUGAAUUGCUACUUUUAUACAUUGUGAAAGGAUCCCCGUGAUAAGUCUAGUUACCAUCUGCUUUUAAACCCUCACUGUUUUUGCUA
Molecule: RNA transcript, 2213 nt
Organism: Hyaena hyaena (striped hyena)
Lineage: Eukaryota; Metazoa; Chordata; Mammalia; Carnivora; Hyaenidae
Gene: DNAJC27
Gene name: DnaJ heat shock protein family (Hsp40) member C27
Exons: 8
Source: RefSeq, a predicted model, not a curated record